Podarcis raffonei (Aeolian wall lizard) is the source of this 1922-nucleotide long non-coding RNA. RefSeq lists it as uncharacterized. The record is from RefSeq and is a predicted model, not a curated record. The transcript is spliced from 2 exons. NCBI's taxonomy places the organism in Eukaryota, Metazoa, Chordata, Lepidosauria, Squamata, Lacertidae.
UAUUUUUGCGUUGCGUCCCUUUGUUCCUAAGAGAUCGGCCAGUGUGUGUUUUAUCAUCCCUUGGCCCCUUUUGGUGCAUAUCUGGUCAAAAUAAUCAGGUUAUCCUGCAAAGUUUCAACUCGAUGUCUGCUAUCUAAUUCUUAAAGUAAGCUUGUCUGGAGUGGACACAGAUAAGAUUUGUCUGCAAAUCCUAAGCAAUUAAUGGAUGAACUGUAAAGACUUGCUUUUGGUGAACAUCUCAACACCAGAGGAAACAGAUCAAAGCAGUCAUGCAUCCAUAGCAGUGACCAGAGGAGAAAUGACCACUGGGAGGAGCGCAGAGAGAAGAAACACCAUGGUGCACGUGCAGCAGCACAACUGGACGCCUUCAUCUGCCCCAGCUGCAACAAAACAUUUCUUUCCCACAUUGGUCUCUACAGCCACGGCAGGUGCUUCAACCUUCCAACAGCUUGACCUCAUCCACAAAGGCACACUCCUCCAGUCUCCCAAGACAGAUGCCAGCCAACCAAACCACAUCAUAUGGAUCCAAAAGAUGCAGUGCAAGUACCCUGGGGAAGUGUGAAGCCAGCAAAAAGGCUGUUGCUGCAUGAACUUGUGGCACCGAUCAUUCAAGGUCAACAAACACAGCCUCCAGUGCAGUACUGUUAAGGGAAUGAUGCUGUACUUGCUGCAAGAGGUGCUUCUUAUGUUGAGAAUCUUUAAUCUGGUGGCUAGAUAAUUCAUUCAUAUUACUGCAAAAAUUCCUGGGCGUUUGGAUAAUGUAUUGAACUAAUGUAACCCUACAGAAGGCUUAACAGUAAAGAAAAUUGCCGAUUUGAUCUCAGCUGUCAUAUUGUGCUCCAAGCAGUCCAAAAUCAACCAUAUCUGCCUCAGAUGUUACCACAUUAUACAAAUAUAAUGCACAACACAUAAUGCUUAUCCAGAAUAUACUGUCAUCAUUUUAAAUGAAAAUAUAUUUCAGUGGUAAAUUGGGAAGCUAUGUUUUCUCCUGGGAUGUUUUCCAGAUGGCUAAUUUAUGUCACCAACCGCAAAGCGUGUCCAUUCAGGAUCAGCAUAAUUUUAUACCCCUUCUUUUUCUGGUACGUAUCUUGGAAAAUACUUGCAAGUCUGUAUAGGCACUGGUGGUGUAUGUAUCUGCACCAUGCUUCCCGUUGCCUUUUAAAAAAAAAUUGUAUGAUUUUCAGGUUUAUACAUUUCACUAAUUUAACAAUAAUGUUAACAUUUCAAAACUUGACUUCCUUCCCCCUUUUCUGCGGUUCCUUAAAUUUAUUUUUAAUGUCUUCUGCAUAUCCUAAUUAACAUGUUUAUUUAUUCAUCUACUUUAAAUAUAUACUCUGCUGAAACUGCAGGUUAUUACUAUAAUCCUGGCAAUGUUCUUAUCUGUUUACAAUUUAUCUGUAAAUAUUCAAUACUCCAUUUCCAUUCUUUUAUAAAAAGUUUGUUAUAUUGAGUUCUUAUUUUUCUGGUAAAUUUUGCCAUUUCUACAUAUUCAAUAAGUUUUUGUAUCCAUUCUUCCUUUGCUUCUACUUUUUUCAAUUUUGGGGUAAUAUUCUUGCCACUGUAGUAACAUACAUGAAUAGUUUCUAUACGGUUUAAGUGGUUCUAUCCCUAUAAUUUCCUGUUGCCUCUCCUACAAUCAGAAAAAAAAAUCUGCAAGAACACACACACAAUUAGUAAUUUUAAUUUUGCACUUUUAUUUGUAGUAGCUUUGUGUCUUAUUUGCACAUGUACAUCUAUCCAAGGAUCUUAACAACCGUACAAUAUAUACUGGUAACCUGCAUCAGCUCUUAUGUGCAACAAACAUGAUUAUUCUUUCCUUCUGCUCCCUUUUCAAAAUGUGUAGUGGUUAUAUUGUCUUUCUAUCCCUAAACCCGCUUUCCCUCAAAUUAAUAUCUGUGAAGGAACAGGAACACAAGAUAAAA